GUUGCCAUUAGGCGACGAAGUGGUUGAUACCAUGCUUCCAAGAAAAGCUCCUAAGCUUCAGAUAACUGGGAACCGUACCCCAAACCGACACAGGUGGUUAGGUAGAGAAUACCAAGGCGCUUGAGAGAACUCGGGUGAAGGAACUAGGCAAAAUGGCACCGUAACUUCGGGAGAAGGUGCGCCGGCGAGGGUCAAGGACUUGCUCCGUAAGCCCAUGCCGGUCGAAGAUACCAGGCCGCUGCGACUGUUUAUUAAAAACACAGCACUCUGCAAACACGAAAGUGGACGUAUAGGGUGUGACGCCUGCCCGGUGCCGGAAGGUUAAUUGAUGGGGUUAGCGCAAGCGAAGCUCUUGAUCGAAGCCCCGGUAAACGGCGGCCGUAACUAUAACGGUCCUAAGGUAGCGAAAUUCCUUGUCGGGUAAGUUCCGACCUGCACGAAUGGCGUAACGAUGGCGGCGCUGUCUCCACCCGAGACUCAGUGAAAUUGAAAUCGCUGUGAAGAUGCAGUGUAUCCGCGGCUAGACGGAAAGACCCCGUGAACCUUUACUAUAGCUUUGCACUGGACUUUGAAUUUGCUUGUGUAGGAUAGGUGGGAGGCUUUGAAGUGGGGACGCCAGUUCUCAUGGAGCCAUCCUUGAAAUACCACCCUGGCAACUUUGAGGUUCUAACUCAGGUCCGUUAUCCGGAUCGAGGACAGUGUAUGGUGGGUAGUUUGACUGGGGCGGUCUCCUCCCAAAGAGUAACGGAGGAGUACGAAGGUGCGCUCAGACCGGUCGGAAAUCGGUCGUAGAGUAUAAAGGCAAAAGCGCGCUUGACUGCGAGACACACACGUCGAGCAGGUACGAAAGUAGGUCUUAGUGAUCCGGUGGUUCUGUAUGGAAGGGCCAUCGCUCAACGGAUAAAAGGUACUCCGGGGAUAACAGGCUGAUACCGCCCAAGAGUUCAUAUCGACGGCGGUGUUUGGCACCUCGAUGUCGGCUCAUCACAUCCUGGGGCUGAAGCCGGUCCCAAGGGUAUGGCUGUUCGCCAUUUAAAGUGGUACGCGAGCUGGGUUUAGAACGUCGUGAGACAGUUCGGUCCCUAUCUGCCGUGGACGUUUGAGAUUUGAGAGGGGCUGCUCCUAGUACGAGAGGACCGGAGUGGACGAACCUCUGGUGUUCCGGUUGUCACGCCAGUGGCAUUGCCGGGUAGCUAUGUUCGGAAGAGAUAACCGCUGAAAGCAUCUAAGCGGGAAACUUGCCUCAAGAUGAGAUCU
RNAcentral lists this ribosomal RNA (1257 nucleotides) under Pseudomonas putida. Its description in RNAcentral is "partial 23S ribosomal RNA". It matches the Rfam family "Bacterial large subunit ribosomal RNA", at positions 1572 to 2812 of the family's 2925-position model. The record is from RNAcentral. Lineage: Bacteria; Pseudomonadati; Pseudomonadota; Gammaproteobacteria; Pseudomonadales; Pseudomonadaceae.